AUGAUGCUGGCUGAAGACCUUGGGCUGCCGAACCUAAGAAGCAUCACAGUUGCAGAUAUAGAGGCUGUGCGUUGCCCUAAACCGUCUCAACGUUCUUCUUGUGCAACUGAACAAAGGCGGAUACCGUGCUAUGGAGCAUCAAAAAAUGAACGAAAACCUGUCACUCGAAGUGCCGUGAAGGGGAAUUUGUCCAAGGGGUCCACACUGAUGAAGCCUACAGCCAGUCAAUUGGCCAGGCAACACAAGCAACUUGAAGUGAAGAAUGCUGUGCCGAGUAAAAAAUCAGUUGGAGUGAGAAGUGACAGAAGUACCAUUAGCUCAAAUGAUUGCACUCAACAAGCUGGUAAAAGGCAGAAACUUGAAAAGGGUCAUCUCAACAAGGAUGUUGCUACAAAUCAACAUGAGUUGAUUCACAAGGCCCAUGAAAAGAAUGUUAUGAGCAGUAGCUAUGAUCGUGCCACUGUUCUACCUAAAUUGAAGAUUACAGUUCCGAGAGAACCUGAGUUGGCUACUAAGCUGAGAGCAGAGAGGUCAAGGAUUCAAAGAUCAGUCCCAAGUAAUUCAAAGCAGUUAAACAGACGGGAUUUACAACCUGCUUGUAGGACUCAAUCGGCACCGACUAGAAAGGUCGUGCAACCUUUUCGGGCUCAUCAGCAUGCAAAUAUACUACAUGUCAAUGUUGCACCAAAAACGCCAGUGUGUUCAUCUAACCGUGCAACUAGUCUUCACAACAUUGAUAAAACAUCAGAAGAUGACCGAGAUGGCACGUUUAAAUUUAAAGCUCUGCCACUGGAUAAAAAGAUAUUGGCAAGCAGAGGAGACAUCGGUGUACUUCAAACUGCCAAAAGAAAUCCUACAGUGCCCAAGGAAUUCAACUUGUCAACAAGCCGGAAGAGCAAGCCGCCUCCAUUAUCUGAACUCUUUAACAAGCUUUCUUUAAGUACCGAAGCCUGCCGUGCCAUGGACCGCCAGGCCAGUGAACGCCCAAACUAUAUCACUACCAAGAGAACAUGA
RNAcentral lists this ribosomal RNA (1014 nucleotides) under Triticum aestivum (bread wheat). Its description in RNAcentral is "partial small subunit ribosomal RNA". The record is from RNAcentral. Lineage: Eukaryota; Viridiplantae; Streptophyta; Magnoliopsida; Poales; Poaceae.